GACGAACGCUGGCGGCGUGCCUAAUACAUGCAAGUCGAACGCUUUUUCUUUCACCGGAGCUUGCUCCACCGAAAGAAAAAGAGUGGCGAACGGGUGAGUAACACGUGGGUAACCUGCCCAUCAGAAGGGGAUAACACUUGGAAACAGGUGCUAAUACCGUAUAACACUAUUUUCCGCAUGGAAGAAAGUUGAAAGGCUCUUUAGCGUCACUGACUGAUGGACCCGCGGUGCAUUAGCUAGUUGGUGAGGUAACGGCUCACCAAGGCAACGAUGCAUAGCCGACCUGAGAGGGUGAGCGGCCACACUGGGACUGAGACACGGCCCAGACUCCUACGGGAGGCAGCAGUAGGGAAUCUUCGGCAAUGGACGAAAGUCUGACCGAGCAACGCCGCGUGAGUGAAGAAGGUUUUCGGAUCGUAAAACUCUGUUGUUAGAGAAGAACAAGGAUGAGAGUAAAACGUUCAUCCCUUGACGGUAUCUAACCAGAAAGCCACGGCUAACUACGUGCCAGCAGCCGCCGUAA
Molecule: ribosomal RNA, 523 nt
Filed under: uncultured bacterium
Lineage: Bacteria
Description: partial 16S ribosomal RNA
Rfam family: Bacterial small subunit ribosomal RNA
Source: RNAcentral